UACGUAGGUGGCAAGCGUUGUCCGGAUUUAUUGGGUUUAAAGGGUGCGUAGGCGGCUUGAUAAGUCAGUGGUGAAAGCCGAUCGCUUAACGAUCGAAUUGCCAUUGAUACUGCCAGGCUUGAGUACAGUUGAGGUAGGCGGAAUUGACAGUGUAGCGGUGAAAUGCAUAGAUAUGUCACAGAACACCGAUUGCGAAGGCAGCUUACUAAAGUGUGAUUGACGCUGAGGCACGAAAGCGUGGGGAUCAAACAGG
RNAcentral lists this ribosomal RNA (253 nucleotides) under uncultured prokaryote. RNAcentral's name for it is "partial 16S ribosomal RNA". It matches the Rfam family "Bacterial small subunit ribosomal RNA", at positions 524 to 776 of the family's 1533-position model. The record is from RNAcentral.